This 434-nucleotide ribosomal RNA is filed under the name uncultured bacterium. RNAcentral describes it as "bacterial SSU rRNA". It matches the Rfam family "Bacterial small subunit ribosomal RNA", at positions 29 to 507 of the family's 1533-position model. The record is from RNAcentral.
AGCGAACGCUGGCGGCAGGCCUAACACAUGCAAGUCGAACGGACCUUUCGGGGGUUAGUGGCGGACGGGUGAGUAACACGUGGGAACGUGCCUUUAGGUUCGGAAUAAGCUCGGGAAACUGGGUCUAAUACCGAAUGUGCCCUUCGGGGGAAAGAUUUAUCGCCUUUAGAGCGGCCCGCGUCUGAUUAGCUAGUUGGUGGUGUAAUGGACCACCAAGGCGACGAUCAGUAGCUGGUCUGAGAGGAUGACCAGCCACAUUGGGACUGAGACACGGCCCAAACUCCUACGGGAGGCAGCAGUGGGGAAUCUUGCGCAAUGGGCGAAAGCCUGACGCAGCCAUGCCGCGUGUAUGAUGAAGGUCUUAGGAUUGUAAAAUACUUUCACCGGUGAAGAUAAUGACUGUAGCCGGAGAAGAAGCCCCGGCUAACUUCGUG